UCUCUGGCCUGCCCAUAUAAACAGGGCAGUUCCUUGCUGGUAGGCAAGAUAGUAACAUCACCUGGUUGCGAGGCUUUGUGUAUCAUCUUGGAGGAAAAGUGAGCACUGCCUGCAGACUGACUAUAUGGAACCUGCCAGCUUGAGAAUACAAGAAGCAGAUGGCACAGUGAGCAGGAGAAGGUUUUUAAUUUUACCUUCUUCCUGAAACCAGUGGAAAGAUUUUCCUGAAACUCAAGAACAAAUUGGAGCUUUCUCGGACUAUGAGUCACAAGGAAGAAAUCACAUGUUAUAGGUGUAACACCCACACACUCAGGAUGUACAGUGAGACCAGUGGACAAGGAGACAGUGAGGGACUCAUUCCGGAGCUGGCCCUGUGUGAGACUGGAGUGGAUUCCCAAUGGCCAGGGAAAUGUUUUUCUUUCUUAACUCUCCCUUUAAAUAACAUAUGUGAUCCCUGCUGGGAGCAUCCUAACAGUGAAAAUCCUUCCAGAGGCUGCCUGCCAAAGCCAGUGAAAAUCCCUUCGGGGAGUCAUGUCCCCUAUACAAGACACAGCCUGUUCAUAGGAACAUAAAUCUGCCCUUACUGAUGAAGAUUUUUCAAGCUGGAUUUAACAUGUGGGGGCACAUCUUAAUUUAGAUCACAGAAUUGCCUGCUUCCUUAGUAAUGUAUUUGGUGCUCAGGGCAGGCCUCCUACCUGCAGAGUCUCAUCCACCAUCCACCUGCUCUCAAACAUAGAAUGAGGCAGGGAAUACGUAACGCGGUAUGAUAUGAAUGAAGAGAAUGUGGAAUUUCUGAAAAAUCCACCCCACUACUCAAGAGGGUGCUACAAAUAAAACCUGUAGAAAUCUAAUAGGAUCUCUAGAAAUGAAUCUGAUAGCUUACGGCAUUUACUGGAGUGUGAGCUUCUUGUAAUAAUUCAGGCUGAACCAUGCUGGUAGUAUUCUCUAGAAGUGCUUAUCACACUUUAUAGAAGGUGCAAGUUCCAUGGGAGCACCAAUUCCAGCAUGACAGCUCAAGUGAACCUUGAGGGAUAUUUGACUUACUGUUACAACCUUCCUUCAGUUUCUGUUAUGUCCCUUGCUACUAAGAUGUAUGAUGCAUGUCCUGCACAGGUCUAUAUGGUAAUGCAGUUUAACAUGGGGUUGACAUUAAUUUCACCUGCU
Long non-coding RNA from Alligator mississippiensis (American alligator), 1164 nucleotides. RefSeq lists it as uncharacterized. The transcript is spliced from 3 exons. The record is from RefSeq and is a predicted model, not a curated record. NCBI's taxonomy places the organism in Eukaryota, Metazoa, Chordata, Crocodylia, Alligatoridae.